Molecule: ribosomal RNA, 475 nt
Filed under: uncultured organism
Description: partial 16S ribosomal RNA
Rfam family: Bacterial small subunit ribosomal RNA
Source: RNAcentral
ACACUCCUGCGGGAGGCAGCAGUGGGGAAUUUUGGACAAUGGGCGAAAGCCUGAACCAGCAAUGCCGCGUGAGUGAAGAAGGCCUUCGGGUUGUAAAGCUCUUUUGUCAGGGAAGAAACGGUGAAAGCUAAUAUCUUUUGCUAAUGACGGUACCUGAAGAAUAAGCACCGGCUAACUACGUGCCAGCAGCCGCGGUAAUACGUAGGGUGCAAGCGUUAAUCGGAAUUACUGGGCGUAAAGCGUGCGCAGGCGGUUUUGUAAGUCUGAUGUGAAAUCCCCGGGCUCAACCUGGGAAUUGCAUUGGAGACUGCAAGGCUAGAAUCUGGCAGAGGGGGGUAGAAUUCCACGUGUAGCAGUGAAAUGCGUAGAUAUGUGGAGGAACACCGAUGGCGAAGGCAGCCCCCUGGGUCAAGAUUGACGCUCAUGCACGAAAGCGUGGGGAGCAAACAGGAUUAGAAACCCCUGUAGUCCCAUG